Molecule: ribosomal RNA, 253 nt
Filed under: uncultured bacterium
Lineage: Bacteria
Description: partial 16S ribosomal RNA
Rfam family: Bacterial small subunit ribosomal RNA
Source: RNAcentral
UACGUAGGCAGCAAGCGUUGUUCGGAGUUACUGGGCGUAAAGGGCUCGUAGGCGGCCAACUAAGUCAGACGUGAAAUCCCUCGGCCUAACCGGGGAACUGCGUCUGAUACUGGAUGGCUUGAGUUCGGGAGAGGGAUGCGGAAUUCCAGGUGUAGCGGUGAAAUGCGUAGAUAUCUGGAGGAACACCGGUGGCGAAGGCGGCAUCCUGGACCGACACUGACGCUGAGGAGCGAAAGCCAGGGGAGCAAACGGG